AGGCUGGUCUCGAACUCCUGACCUCAGGUGAUCCACCCACCUCGGCCUCCCAAAGUGCUGGGAUCCCAGGUGUGAGCCACCACACCUGGCCCACUUUUAAAAUGAAGCAGAAUAAAAUUCCCUGUCACAAAUCCAACCAAAAUUACAAAAUCCCUACAAAGGACCCUAACGAGAAACGACUAGAAUGAAGCGAGUGGAUGUUAGAGCAGGAGGAUGGGAAGACUUACCCCUGCAAAUGCCUCUGCCUCUCAACUCAGAAGCUCCAAUGAGAAUUUUUAUGGUGAUAAAAUACUGAAUACAGCCACAGAGCCCUAUAAAAUAAUGAAGUGGGUUUACUAACAUAGAAAGAUGGGCUGUAAAGCAAUGUGUACAGCAUGGUGUCACCUGGGGCUCAGAGCCUCCCCUCUCCCUCCAUCAGCCUGUCUGCCCCCAGCGGCAAUGCUCCUGCCCCUCCUCCUCCUCCUGGGCUUCACUCCCACAUGUGACUCCCUCCAACUCUCCCCUCCCUGCUUCAAGGGUGUCUCCCUCUCUCCUCACUCAGCUGUCCCCCAGGGCAGUGCCUUUGGGGUGGGUGGACGUGAGAGGCCUCUGGCCUCCACACACUGCCCACUGCUACCCUUGCUCAAGGCUGCUCAACCAGGGAGGAGACGGCCGUCCGGCAGGAUGGUCACUGGGGCCAGAGGGAGUGGUCAGUCAGGACACAUUCUGGAACAACACUCACUUUAUUUGCUGCUGAGGCAAGUGUUCAGAUCUCUCACUGUGAUUGUCUAUUUCUCCUCUUAGUUCUUUCUGUUCCAGUCACAUUUUGGAGUUGUGUUCUUUGGUGCUUUUAUGUUUAGCAUUGUUGUGUCAUCCCAUUAACCUCACCACUUGGUCACUGAGCUGUCCCUCCAUCUCUAAUGAGUCCUCCUGCCUGAGGCCGUGCUGUCAGAUGUGAACAGCUGUAGCAGAUGUGUGGGUGGUGCCCUGGCUUCUGGCCUCUCGCAUUCACUCUGCAUCCUUGGACUCGAUAUGUGAAGCCUGUGAAUGAACAUAGCUGGGUUUUGUCUAUCCAAUCUAACACACUUAAUUGGAGUUUGCAUUCCACUUACAUUUAAUAUGCUUGCUGACACAUUUGGUUUAAAGCUACCAUUUGCCUCUGUUUCCUAUGUGUCCCAUCU
RNAcentral lists this long non-coding RNA (1160 nucleotides) under Homo sapiens (human). Its description in RNAcentral is "HSALNT0279317". Lineage: Eukaryota; Metazoa; Chordata; Mammalia; Primates; Hominidae. The record is from RNAcentral.